Humulus lupulus (European hop) is the source of this 462-nucleotide long non-coding RNA. RefSeq lists it as uncharacterized. The record is from RefSeq and is a predicted model, not a curated record. The transcript is spliced from 4 exons. NCBI's taxonomy places the organism in Eukaryota, Viridiplantae, Streptophyta, Magnoliopsida, Rosales, Cannabaceae.
AGGAAAGAUACUAUGCUAAAAAAUUCGAGGCUGAAACUGAGGAUGAUCUUGAGAAGGUUCGGAGAGAUGUGGUGUUGAAAUAUACAGAAGGGAUUUGCUGGGUCAUGCAUUAUUAUUAUGAAGGAGUCUGCUCCUGGCAAUGGUAUUAUCCUUAUCACUAUGCUCCAUUUGCUUCAGAUUUUGUUGGUAUUGAAGAGUUAAAGAUUCAAUUCACGCUUGGGAAACCCUUUAAACCAUUUGAUCAGUUGAUGGUUGUACUCCCCACUGCAAGGUUUUAAUUAUUAAACUGUGUUUGUAUUUAUGCAUUUUGGCUUUCAUAUAUUAGUCAUAUGAUAUUUACCCUCUUGUGCAUGUACAGUGCACACGCUCUUCCAGUGUCUUAUAGGAAGCUUAUGACUGAUGCAUUAUCACCUUUGUUGGCUUUCUAUCCCACAGAUGUUGAGCUGGAUAUGAAUGGGAAAC